Molecule: non-coding RNA, 295 nt
Organism: Penaeus vannamei (Pacific white shrimp)
Lineage: Eukaryota; Metazoa; Arthropoda; Malacostraca; Decapoda; Penaeidae
Source: RefSeq, a predicted model, not a curated record
UGUGUGUGUGUGUGUGUGUGUGUGUGUGUGUGUGUGUGUGUGUGUGUGUGUGUGUGUGUGUGUGUGUGUGUGUGUGUGUGUGUGUGUGUGUGUGUGUGUGUGUGUGCACGCGUUAUAGCAAAGGUAUCCGCGCGUAACCGUGUAUCCGGAUCAACUGGCCGGAUAUCGAAAACCAGACCAAUACAAAUCUGAAUUCAGGAUUAGCGUUUACGACAGAGAGGGAGAGAGAGAGAGAGAGAGAGAGAGAGAGAGAGAGAGAGAGAGAGAGAGAGAGAGAGAGAGAGAGAGAGAGAGA